AUUGAACGCUGGCGGCAGGCCUAACACAUGCAAGUCGAGCGAGCGGCGGACGGGUGAGUAAUGUAUGGGGACUGCCCGAUAGAGGGGGAUAACUACUGGAAACGGUGGCUAAUACCGCAUACUAUCGGAUAACCCAUAUGGGAUGAGCUAGUAGGUGGGGUAAAGGCUCACCUAGGCGACGAUCUCUAGCUGGUCUUAGAGGAUGAUCAGCCAAACUGGGACGGAAACACGGCCCAGACUCCUACGGAGGCAGCAUUGGGGAAUAGUGCAAAAUGGGGGAAAGCCGGAUGCAGCCAGGCCGCGUAGAUGAAGAGGUCCUUAGGGUGGUAAAGUACUUUCAGCGGGGAGGCGUUACCCACAGAAGAAGCACCGGCUAACUCCGUGCCAGCCGCCGCGGUAAUAC
RNAcentral lists this ribosomal RNA (403 nucleotides) under uncultured bacterium. RNAcentral describes it as "partial 16S ribosomal RNA". It matches the Rfam family "Bacterial small subunit ribosomal RNA", at positions 29 to 526 of the family's 1533-position model. The record is from RNAcentral.